Small nucleolar RNA from Phyllostomus discolor (pale spear-nosed bat), 132 nucleotides. RefSeq annotates it as small nucleolar RNA SNORA75. The transcript has a single exon. NCBI's taxonomy places the organism in Eukaryota, Metazoa, Chordata, Mammalia, Chiroptera, Phyllostomidae. The record is from RefSeq and is a predicted model, not a curated record.
GCCUUCUCACUGAGCUCUUCUCUGCCAAUCUGUGGCAGUUUAUGGGUCCACACGAGAAGAGACAAUUCACAGAGCUGGCAUUGUUUUGCUUCCUGUCUUCAGAGGUGUGUUUAGCUGUUUUGUGAGACAUUA